This 483-nucleotide ribosomal RNA is filed under the name uncultured bacterium. Its description in RNAcentral is "bacterial SSU rRNA". It matches the Rfam family "Bacterial small subunit ribosomal RNA", at positions 328 to 803 of the family's 1533-position model. The record is from RNAcentral.
GAAUUCAACUCCUACGGGAGGCAGCAGUGGGGAAUAUUGGACAAUGGGCGCAAGCCUGAUCCAGCAAUGCCGCGUGGGUGAAGAAGGCCUUCGGGUUGUAAGGCCCUUUUGUACGGGAAGAAAUCCUGUCGGUUAAUACCCGGCGGGGAUGACGGUACCGUAAGAAUAAGCACCGGCUAACUUCGUGCCAGCAGCCGCGGUAAUACGAAGGGUGCAAGCGUUAAUCGGAAUUACUGGGCGUAAAGCGUGCGUAGGCGGUUGGCUAAGUCAGAUGUGAAAGCCCUGGGCUCAACCUGGGAAUGGCAUUUGAAACUUGCUGGCUAGAGUGUGAUAGAGGAUGGCGGAAUUCCCGGUGUAGCGGUGAAAUGCGUAGAGAUCGGGAGGAACAUCCGUGGCGAAGGCGGCCAUCUGGAUCAACACUGACGCUGAGGCACGAAAGCGUGGGGAGCAAACAGGAUUAGAUACCCGAGUAGUCCAGGCGUU